Molecule: ribosomal RNA, 235 nt
Filed under: uncultured bacterium
Lineage: Bacteria
Description: partial 16S ribosomal RNA
Rfam family: Bacterial small subunit ribosomal RNA
Source: RNAcentral
CGGGGUGAGGAGCGCGUGGAGAACCUGCCCCGGUAUGGGGGAUACCAGCCAGAAAUGGCUGCUAAUACCGCAUACGAUUCCCUGCUGGUAAGGCGGGGAAGGAAAGCUCGCAAGGGCGUACUGGGAGGGGUCCGCGUCGGAUUAGCUAGUUGGUGGGGUAAAAGCCUACCAAGGCGACGAUCCGUAGCUGGUCUGAGAGGACGGCCAGCCACACUGGGACUGAGACACGGCCCAG